GAUGAACGCUGGCGGCGUGCCUAAUACAUGCAAGUCGAGCGAACAGACGAGGAGCUUGCUCCUCUGACGUUAGCGGCCGACGGGUGAGUAACACGUCUAUAACCUACCUAUAAGACUGUGAUAACUUUGGGAAACCGGACCUAAUACCGGAUAAUAUAUUGAACAACAUGGUUCCAUAGUUAAAGACGGUUUUUCUGUCACUUAUCGCCUGCUCCGCCCCGCAUUAGCUAGUUGGUAAGGUAACUGCUUACCAACGCUACGAUGCUGACCCGACCUGAACGGGUGGUCGGACAGACUGGAACUGAGACACGGUACAGACUCCUAGGGGAGGAAGCAGUAGGGAAUCCUACGCAAUGGGGGAGAGGCUGACGGUAGAAAGCGGCGUGAAUGAUGAAGGUCUUAGGAUGGGUAAGCUCUGUUAGCAGGAGGGAACUAAUGUGUAAGUAACUAUGCACGUAAUGACGGUACCUAAUCAAAAAGCCACGGCUAACUACGUG
RNAcentral lists this ribosomal RNA (497 nucleotides) under uncultured bacterium. Its description in RNAcentral is "partial 16S ribosomal RNA". It matches the Rfam family "Bacterial small subunit ribosomal RNA", at positions 28 to 507 of the family's 1533-position model. The record is from RNAcentral.